AGUGAACGCUGGCGGUAGGCCUAACACAUGCAAGUCGAACGGCAGCACAGUAAGAGCUUGCUCUUACGGGUGGCGAGUGGCGGACGGGUGAGGAAUACAUCGGAAUCUACUUUUUCGUGGGGGAUAACGUAGGGAAACUUACGCUAAUACCGCAUACGACCUACGGGUGAAAGUAGGGGAUCUUCGGACCUUGCGCGAUUGAAUGAGCCGAUGUCGGGUUAGCUAGUUGGCGGGGUAAAGGCCCACCAAGGCGACGAUCCGUAGCUGGUCUGAGAGGAUGAUCAGCCACACUGGAACUGAGACACGGUCCAGACUCCUACGGGAGGCAGCAGUGGGGAAUAUUGGACAAUGGGCGCAAGCCUGAUCCAGCCAUACCGCGUGGGUGAAGAAGGCCUUCGGGUUGUAAAGCCCUUUUGUUGGGAAAGAAAAGCAGCAGGUUAAUACCCCGCUGUUCUGACGGUACCCAAAGAAUAAGCACCGGCUAACUUCGUG
This 492-nucleotide ribosomal RNA is filed under the name uncultured bacterium. RNAcentral's name for it is "partial 16S ribosomal RNA". It matches the Rfam family "Bacterial small subunit ribosomal RNA", at positions 29 to 507 of the family's 1533-position model. The record is from RNAcentral.